UGACCAUCAGUGACCAGAGUGACCAUCAGUGACCAUCAGUGACCAUCACUGACCAUCACUGACCACCACUGACCAUCACUGACCAUCACUGACCAGAGUGACCAUCACUGACCAUCACUGACCAUCACUGACCAUCACUGACCAUCAGUGACCAUCACUGACCAUCACUGACCAUCACUGACCAUCAGUGACCAUCACUGACCAUCACUGACCAUCACUGACCAUCAGUGACCAUCAGUGACCAGAGUGACCAUUACUGACCAUCAGUGACCAUCAGUGACCAUCACUGACCAUCACUGACCAUCACUGACCACCACUGACCAUCACUGACCAUCACUGACCAUCAGUGACCAUCAGUGACCAGAGUGACCACUGACCAUCACUGGCCAUUACUCUGGGCUGUACUGGGAGCACUGGGAUCCCUCAGAUCCCAGACUGGAGCGUCCCAGGUGUGUCCAGGUGUGUCCCCAGGUGUGUCCAGGUGUCCCCAGGUGUGUCCCCAGGUGUCCCCAGGUGUAUCCAGGUGUAUCUCAGGUGUCCCCAGGUGUGUCACAGACCUGCAGCAGCAGGUGACAGAUCUCCAGGUGUCCUUUCUGCGCGGCCGCGUGCAGCGCCGAGCGCUUG
Molecule: long non-coding RNA, 624 nt
Filed under: Parus major (Great Tit)
Lineage: Eukaryota; Metazoa; Chordata; Aves; Passeriformes; Paridae
Description: lncRNA (ENSPMJG00000002320.1)
Source: RNAcentral